RNAcentral lists this ribosomal RNA (310 nucleotides) under uncultured microorganism. Its description in RNAcentral is "bacterial SSU rRNA". It matches the Rfam family "Archaeal small subunit ribosomal RNA", at positions 330 to 640 of the family's 1478-position model. The record is from RNAcentral.
GUGCACCAGGCGAGAAACCUCCGCAAUACACGAAAGUGUGACGGGGCCAUCCCGAGUGCCGUCCGCUGAGGACGGCUUUUCCCCAGUGUACACAGCUGGGGGAAUAAGGAGAGGGCAAGCCUGGUGUCAGCCGCCGCGGUAAUACCAGCUCUCCGAGUGGUGGGGACGCUUAUUGGGCCUAAAGCAUCCGUAGCCGGCUGGGCAAGUCCUCCGUUAAAUCCAACGAUUCAAUCGUUGGGCUGCGGGGGAUACUGUCCAGACUUGGGGGCGGGAGAGGCCGACGGUAAUUCCCGGGGUAGGGGUGAAAUCC